AUUGAACGCUGGCGGCAGGCCUAACACAUGCAAGUCGAGCGGAUGAAGGGAGCUUGCUCCUGGAUUCAGCGGCGGACGGGUGAGUAAUGCCUAGGAAUCUGCCUGGUAGUGGGGGAUAACGUCCGGAAACGGGCGCUAAUACCGCAUACGUCCUGAGGGAGAAAGUGGGGGAUCUUCGGACCUCACGCUAUCAGAUGAGCCUAGGUCGGAUUAGCUAGUUGGUGGGGUAAAGGCCUACCAAGGCGACGAUCCGUAACUGGUCUGAGAGGAUGAUCAGUCACACUGGAACUGAGAAACGGUCCAGACUCCUACGGGAGGCAGCAGUGGGGAAUAUUGGACAAUGGGCGAAAGCCUGAUCCAGCCAUGCCGCGUGUGUGAAGAAGGUCUUCGGAUUGUAAAGCACUUUAAGUUGGGAGGAAGGGCAGUAAGUUAAUACCUUGCUGUUUUGACGCUACCAACAGAAUAAGCACCGGCUAACUUCGUG
Molecule: ribosomal RNA, 484 nt
Filed under: uncultured bacterium
Lineage: Bacteria
Description: partial 16S ribosomal RNA
Rfam family: Bacterial small subunit ribosomal RNA
Source: RNAcentral